Molecule: transfer RNA, 74 nt
Filed under: Staphylococcus pseudintermedius
Lineage: Bacteria; Bacillati; Bacillota; Bacilli; Caryophanales; Staphylococcaceae
Description: tRNA-Met
Rfam family: tRNA
About the family: Transfer RNA (tRNA) molecules are approximately 80 nucleotides in length. Their secondary structure includes four short double-helical elements and three loops (D, anti-codon, and T loops).
Source: RNAcentral
CGCGGGAUGGAGCAGUUCGGAAGCUCGUCGGGCACAUAACCCGAAGGUCGCUGGUACAAAUCCGCCUCCCGCAA